CAGCCAAGCAGUCAUUUCGCUGCCAGACAGAGAGGAAAAAAGCCACGCCAUGGGUCUUGAGCUGGUCUCUGAUGAUCAAUAACACCUGCUGCCACGAAGUCAACACACUCCCUUUCACUUCGGUCGGGCAAGAGAGAUACACACGGGCAAGACCGACUCCUCCCGCCGCAACGGACGUCGCUGAUGGCUUGCGCUGGAAGACGAGCUGUAUCACUGUGGGGAAGGACGCCCGUAUGCAAAUUGCAACAACGGGACCAAGGCUGGGAGCCAUGCAAAAUCCGGAACAACGUCGCCCUAAGGAGCAAGGCCAUGAGAGGAAAAUGCCAGACCGGAGCAGAGCCGCGUACAGCCAAGAUUGCGCUGCUACAACUAUAAAUACUGACGCCAGUUUAUGGACUGAUGUACACGUAUUGUCUGCAUUGCUAGUAUUUGACUUUACAGACACAAAUACGUAUUGUCUAGUCUAUUAUGUGUAUCAAAGAAUAUACAAGUAAUGUAAUUGACUCAGACGACGACGGUCCAAAUCAAACCAUGUGUGGAUUUACGAAUGGUGGAAAUCCCAUACAAACGCACGUAAGGUCUCAUUGAUGAGUUUUUAACUGCAUUGGGAGUAAUGGCAUGCAAAAAUACGUGUUUCACAUGGGCGCGUACAAAAUGAACGCACUUGAAAAAUGUUUAUUCUAUCUAUUCUUUGUUGCGCUCAUUUACGUUUUAUCUUGUAAAAAAAUUACGACAACAGCUAAACAUUCAGUCUUAUAUGACAAUUAGAACAUGCAUGAAGUUAGUACACACCGCAACGGGGACUGCACAACUCAGAACUGUGUGCCUCCGACCCAGACCGCAGCUACCGAACAUUGCCUGCUAAUUUCUUGAAGCAGAAAGAAACUUUCACCAAUCUAACGUUAGAGAUCAGUUGGGCUGGAUAAAAGGAAAAUUCUCAUCGCUAAAAAACACCUCCGUGCAGCCGCUUACUUUUUUUGGGCCGUAAUUUGGAGUAAUACAUCAACGGGACCUUACAAAUAUUAUGUAUGCAAGCUGAUGUUGCAUUUCAGUCCGUCACUUGCAACAAGCUAGAUACAACGCAAUGGUUGCUGUAUGUACCGGCAUGUAUUUGUCUAUAUUGUGCCAUGAUUAUUAUUCUCAGACGGUUUCCGGUAAUUCGUUAAAUUUGAUAAUGUGAACUGCAACAGACCGAGAUAAAGUACUAGUAACCAAUGUUGUGUGAUGUGAGCGGACAGCUGUGUAACUGUCUGUCAGGUAAGACAGAAUAUAAAGACGAGAGAUUUAUUUCUAAGGCAAUUCAGGAGAGCAACAGACCGAGUGACAUAGCAUUAUGACGUCGCAGUUAGUAUACGUUCAAAGUCUCCCGUGCCCAGUGUACGGAAAUCCCUA
This is a long non-coding RNA of Branchiostoma floridae (Florida lancelet), 1392 nucleotides long. RefSeq lists it as uncharacterized. The transcript is spliced from 2 exons. The record is from RefSeq and is a predicted model, not a curated record. Lineage: Eukaryota; Metazoa; Chordata; Leptocardii; Amphioxiformes; Branchiostomatidae.